Molecule: long non-coding RNA, 1006 nt
Filed under: Triticum aestivum (bread wheat)
Lineage: Eukaryota; Viridiplantae; Streptophyta; Magnoliopsida; Poales; Poaceae
Description: long non-coding RNA (TAES_LNC022676)
Source: RNAcentral
GGCUAUGUACUAGGCGAUAAGUUUUUCUUUUAGGAAAAGUUUGUGUAGCGAUAGGUGGGUCCGGUUUUGGGAUGGUUGGUUCUCUUCAUCGCUAUCACUAUCGCUGCCUCUUCCUUCUUCCGUUCCCAGCGGCGCUCGCCCUUCCUCCUGCCAUCUGUGACCCGAACCCGCUGUGGCGCGCCCUUCACAGGAGGAGCCAGAGCCCAUCUAGAUGUAGUAGCCCAACCCAAUACAUGACGAGGUGCUUCAUGGAGCAAAGUGACGGGAGCGAUCGAUCUAGAUCAAUCGAUUUGGUCGUUCCCCAAUUCCCCACUGCUGCCAAUCCCUAGCGCCACCGCCGGACGCCUCCUCCAAUCAUGUGUAUCUCCUGCACCUCCUGCCGCCGGUGUUAAUCAUCUACAUACCUGGGCAUGUUCACCGCCGUUCUGGACUGAGCGUCGUCGUUGUUCCACAGGUAUGGUUUCCACUGUUGUUCAUUCCAUAUUGCCCAGCCAUUCCCCACCACCAUUUUUCUUGAUUCAACUUUUUGAUUCACGGUGGCUGGCCAUGUGCGCAGGAGGCGAUGGAAGGGUGGGAGGAUGUUGCAUGGACGGAAGAUAUAUUCCCCAUGCCAUCUGACGCAGGAGAAGUGAUGGACCUAGAAAACCUGGUGGACACCCUCUCCCAGAUGCCCGACGAGACCCCAUGGUGCUCGAUGGUGAGCCGGACAAAUUCAGCGGUGGUGCCGACUGCCAAGGAUGCACGAGAGGUACACUAGUGAGGUUGUUGGACCAGAACGAUGGUAGCAGCUCAGCGGGCUUUUCUGGCUACAAGAGGAGGUAAUCCAAAGAAAUAUAUGUCCCAGCCGAUUUCUUUUUUCCCUUAUCUUGUACUGAUCAUCUAUGUACGUGUACAUAAAACUGAACCGAUGUAUGUAAGGACAGUUCUUGUCGGUGUUAAUCGGUACUACUUUUCUUUCAUGUGUUUUAAUCAUCUCUGUAGUAUGUACUUCUGCACAAAACCCUAC